This 1079-nucleotide long non-coding RNA is filed under the name Mytilus galloprovincialis (Mediterranean mussel). Lineage: Eukaryota; Metazoa; Mollusca; Bivalvia; Mytilida; Mytilidae. The record is from RNAcentral.
UAUUUCAGUUAAGUUACUCACCAUACAGUUUGAACACUUGGUGUUUAUAGGAAGUUAAUACGUGUUUGUAGUUGUUAACUACAGCAAUGCAUAUUAAUUUCAAGUCAGGUAAAAAAAAAGGAGUGUCAAUGGUAAUAUCCACUUCAUACAGAAUAACAUUGAAGUUAGCAACUAUAGGUCACAUUCCCCGUUACAAUUUCAGUUCAUUUGUUAACUACCUUCAUUUAGCUGUUUGGGUAACAUAUAGCCAACGCAUAGUUUUCAUGAUAUGAAAACAACGUACUUGAUAUCAAUUUCUAUCAGUUGCCUUCUUGUUAAAAGGUUCAACAUAUGCAAUUGCAGGAUGUUAUUUCUACAAAUAAAUUUAUCAAUAGUAAUUUCGAAUAUAUUGUAAUCGAAUUUUGAGGGUUGCAGUCACAUGUUGUACUGAGGAAUGUUGUUUGCGAUUCCUAUUAACCUAUGUAUGCAUUGUUUUUUUUUCUAUCGAUUUUCGAAUAGCGGUAUACUACUGUUGCCUUUAUUCAUACAAGUAAUUCAGGCUUUUUUAAUAGUUUAUUUUCUAUGGACAUCACACACCCACUACCUAUCUCAAUAUAUAGUCUAAUGCAAAUCCAAAAGACAUGAAUCAAAUCAACCAAUCAUUUUGGAUUCAUAACCACUGUGUAUAUGUGUCGGUACCCUAAAACGACUUCUUACGUUGAAGAUGCUAUGAAUGUGUUUCGAAUAUGGAAUAUGGGAUUUAUUAUGGUUUGCUGUUUUAGAAAACUAAGAAAUAUUUUCUAACAUUAAAGAAUAAAUUAUAUUCAGAACAAUUAUAUGGUUCUGCAACUCUUGGGAAGUAGACUAUUGCUGAUAAUGUUAAAUCGAUCAGUGUAAAUGGUUCAGAAUGUAAAUGUGUUUAAAUAACUUUUUUAUUUUAAUAUGUCGUAUAGAUCACGUUUGUUAUUACCUUUAUUAAAUAGAAUGUAAAUGUAUAUACCAAGUAAGAAACUGUCAAAUUUGUAUCUUGUUAAUGACUUGGUGUUUUUUGUGUGUUGUGUUUUCCUUAGAUCUAUGUAUGCAUGUUUCUUUAAUUCCAG